GACGAACGCUGGCGGCGUGCCUAAUACAUGCAAGUCGAACGCUUUUUCUUUCACCGGAGCUUGCUCCAUCGAAAGAAAAAGAGUGGCGAACGGGUGAGCAACACGUGGGUAACCUGCCCAUCAGAAGGGGAUAACACUUGGAAACAGGUGCUAAUACCGUAUAACACUAUUUUCCGCAUGGAAGAAAGUUGAAAGGCGCUUUUGCGUCACUGAUGGAUGGACCCGCGGUGCAUUAGCUAGUUGGUGAGGUAACGGCUCACCAAGGCAACGAUGCAUAGCCGAUCUGAGAGGGUGAUCGGCCACACUGGGACUGAGACACGGCCCAGACUCCUACGGGAGGCAGCAGUAGGGAAUCUUCGGCAAUGGACGAAAGUCUGACCGAGCAACGCCGCGUGAGUGAAGAAGGUUUUCGGAUCGUAAAACUCUGUUGUUAGAGAAGAACAAGGAUGAGAGUAAAAUGUUCAUCCCUUGACGGUAUCUAACCAGAAAGCCACGGCUAACUACGUGCCAGCCGCCGCAGUAA
Molecule: ribosomal RNA, 523 nt
Filed under: uncultured bacterium
Lineage: Bacteria
Description: partial 16S ribosomal RNA
Rfam family: Bacterial small subunit ribosomal RNA
Source: RNAcentral